This 497-nucleotide ribosomal RNA is filed under the name uncultured bacterium. RNAcentral describes it as "partial 16S ribosomal RNA". It matches the Rfam family "Bacterial small subunit ribosomal RNA", at positions 27 to 507 of the family's 1533-position model. The record is from RNAcentral.
GGGGGGGGGGGGGGGGGGGGGUGGGGGAGGGGGGGGGGGGGAGCGGACGGGGAGCUUGGUCCUCGGACGUUAGCGGCGGACGGGGGAGUAACACGUGGCUCACCUACCUAUAAGACUGGGCUAACUUCGGGAAACCGGAGCUAAUACCGGAUAAUCUAUUGAACCGCAUGGUUCAAUAGUGAAAGACGGGUUUGCUGUCACUUAUAGAUGGAUCCGCGCCGCAUUAGCUAGUUGGUAAGGUAACGGCUUACCAAGGCAACGAUGCGUAGCCGACCUGAGAGGGUGAUCGGCCACACUGGAACUGAGACACGGUCCAGACUCCUACGGGAGGCAGCAGUAGGGAAUCUUCCGCAAUGGGCGAAAGCCUGACGGAGCAACGCCGCGUGAGUGAUGAAGGUCUUCGGAUCGUAAAACUCUGUUAUUAGGGAAGAACAAAUGUGUAAGUAACUAUGCACGUCUUGAUGGUACCUAAUCAGAAAGCCACGGCUAACUACGUG